Molecule: non-coding RNA, 94 nt
Organism: Cephalotrichum gorgonifer
Lineage: Eukaryota; Fungi; Ascomycota; Sordariomycetes; Microascales; Microascaceae
Source: the annotation of a GenBank genome assembly
GCCCUUAUAGCUCAGUGGUAGAGCGCGUCACUAGUACUGAACCAAUUGGUCACGUGCCAUGACGAGGUCGUAGGUUCGACUCCUGCUGAGGGCA